This 373-nucleotide ribosomal RNA is filed under the name uncultured organism. RNAcentral describes it as "partial 16S ribosomal RNA". It matches the Rfam family "Bacterial small subunit ribosomal RNA", at positions 527 to 896 of the family's 1533-position model. The record is from RNAcentral.
GUAGGUGGCAAGCGUUGUCCGGAAUUAUUGGGCGUAAAGCGCGCGCAGGCGGUCCUUUAAGUCUGAUGUGAAAGCCCACGGCUCAACCGUGGAGGGUCAUUGGAAACUGGGGGACUUGAGUACAGAAGAGGAAAGCGGAAUUCCAAGUGUAGCGGUGAAAUGCGUAGAGAUUUGGAGGAACACCAGUGGCGAAGGCGGCUUUCUGGUCUGUAACUGACGCUGAGGCGCGGAAGCGUGGGGAGCAAACAGGGAUUAGAUACCCUGGUAGUCCACGCCGUAACCGAUGAGUGCUAAGUGUUAGGGGGUUUCCCGCCCCUUAGUGCUGCAGCUAACGCAUUAAGCACUCCGCCUGGGGAGUACGGCCGCAAGGCUG